Molecule: ribosomal RNA, 2092 nt
Filed under: Tylocephalum sp. 1 AW-2016
Lineage: Eukaryota; Metazoa; Platyhelminthes; Cestoda; Lecanicephalidea; Tetragonocephalidae
Description: SSU rRNA
Rfam family: Eukaryotic small subunit ribosomal RNA
Source: RNAcentral
CUAUGGUUUAUUGGAUCGUACCCGUUAAAUGGAUAACUGUAAUAACUCUAGAGCUAAUACAUGCCUCGAAGCCCUGACCCUUAUGCGGCCGUUAUGCGGUCGUGCAAGGGAAUGGGUGCACUUAUUAGAUCAGAAGCCAACCAUGUAGCACAGUCCCGCUCGUCGAGCCUGUCGCCGCAUGUUGUCGUUCUGGUGACUCUGGAUAAUUGUUACAGAUCGCAGUCGGCCUUGAGUCGGCGACGGGUCCUUCAAAUGUCUGCCCUAUCAACUUUCGAUGGUAGGUGACCUGCCUACCAUGGUGAUAACGGGUAACGGGGAAUCAGGGUUCGAUUCCGGAGAGGGAGCCUGAGAAACGGCUACCACUUCCAAGGAAGGCAGCAGGCGCGCAAAUUACCCACUCCCAGUACGGGGAGGUGGUGACGAAAAAUACCGAUGCGGGACUCCUAAAAGAGGCUCCGUAAUCGGAAUGAGUGAACUUUAAAUCCUUUCACGAGGAUCAAUUGGAGGGCAAGUCUGGUGCCAGCAGCCGCGGUAACUCCAGCUCCAAUAGCGUAUAUUAAAGUUGCUGCAGUUAAAAAGCUCGUAGUUGGAUCUCGGUAUCACUGUUGCCUGUUAGUCCUUCAAACGGUAUAAACGCCUACUCGUGUGUGUGUAGAGGCACACCGCCUCUACUCACACGGGUAGACGGCUGUUUGAAGCUAGCACUGGUUGCGGUGUCACCUUUCAGCCAUGUCUGUGGUGAAAUAUACACAGGUGUAGGCGAGUGUCAGGCGGUGCAUGCCUUAUGGCGUGUCCGUCGGCUCGCCUGCAUGCCUCUGGAUGCCCUUCAUCGGGUGUCUAUAGGCGGAUGGCACGUUUACUUUGAACAAAUUUGAGUGCUCAAACCAGGCCGAUGUUGCCUGAAAAGUUUUGCAUGGAAUAAUGGAAUAGGACUUCGGUUCUAUUUCGUUGGUUUUCGGAUCCGAAGUAAUGAUCAAAAGAGACAGGCGGGGACGUUUGUAUGGCUGCGCUAGAGGUGAAAUUCAUGGACCGUAGCCAGACAAACUAAAGCGAAAGCAUUCGUCAAGCAUGUUUUCAUUGACCAUGAGCGAAAGUCAGAGGCUCGAAGACGAUCAGAUACCGUCCUAGUUCUGACCAUAAACGAUGCCAACUGACGAUCCGUGGUGGUAGUAUAUAAACCUUCCCCACGGGCAGUCCCCGGGAAACCUUUAAGUCUUUGGGUUCCGGGGGAAGUAUGGUUGCAAAGCUGAAACUUAAAGGAAUUGACGGAAGGGCACCACCAGGAGUGGAGCCUGCGGCUUAAUUUGACUCAACACGGGAAAACUCACCCGGCCCGGACACCGUGAGGAUUGACAGAUUGAUAGCUCUUUCUUGAUUUGGUGCUUGGUGGUGCAUGGCCGUUCUUAGUUGGUGGAGCGAUUUGUCUGGUUAAUUCCGAUAACGAACGAGACUCUAGCCUGCUAAUUAGUACAAUCGUCAACUGUUCCUGUGUCGACGGCGUUUGACGAGGCUGUUCUAUAUAACUCGUGCAUUGUCGCUCAGUCUGUGUGUGCGUGCGUGUGUGUCUGCUCGCCGUGUCUCCUGUGUGCCUCGUGUACUCGCGGGCGCGCGUGUGUCGGCAUGCACGUACUACAUGCACUGAGUCGACGCUGUAUUGGGUUGGUAUGGCUGGUUCAGCGUUAGUCGCCGGGUACGGCGCGAUUUGUCUACUUCUUAGAGGGACAAGCGGGAGAAGCCGCACGAAAUUGAGCAAUAACAGGUCUGUGAUGCCCUUAGAUGUCCGGGGCCGCACGCGCGCUACAAUGACGGUGCCAACGAGUCUGACCUUCUGGCCCGAAAGGGUUGGGUAAACUGGUCAAUCACCGUCAUGACAGGGAUCGGGGCUUGGAAUUGUUCCCCGUGAACGAGGAAUUCCUAGUAAGUGCAAGUCAUAAGCUUGCGCUGAUUACGUCCCUGCCCUUUGUACACACCGCCCGUCGCUACUACCGAUUGAAUGGUUUAGUAAGGUCCUUGGAUUGGUGCCAUUGCGGUGGUUGUCGAAAGACAACCACCCGACAGGUGCUAAGAAGACGACCAAACUUGAUCAUUUAGA